GGGGGGGGGGGGGGGGGGGGGGGGCGGGGGGGGGGGGGGGGGCGGGGGGGGGUUGGGGGGGGGGGCGGGUGGCGGGGGGGGGGGUGGUGCGGCGGAGCGUGGCGGGUGGUGGGGGCGAGCGCGGCGGACGCCGGGGUACUCCCGCCGACGGCCUGGGGGGGGCGGCGUGGUGCCGCACAGCCUCGCGCUCCUGGUGCGGGCGCUUGCGGAUUAGCUAGUUGGUGGGGUAACGUCUUACUAAGGCGACGAUCCGUAGCUGGUCUGAGAGGACGACCAGCCACACUGGAACUGAGACACGGCCCAGACUCCGACGGGAGGCAGCAGUGGGGAAUUUUGGACAAUGGGGGCAACCCUGAUCCAGCCAUGCCGCGUGCGGGAAGAAGGCCUUCGGGUUGUAAACCGCUUUUGUGCGGGAAGAAAUCCUGUGGGCUAAUACCCCGGGGGGAGGACGGUACCGGAAGAAGAAGCACCGGCUAACUACGUG
This 484-nucleotide ribosomal RNA is filed under the name uncultured bacterium. Its description in RNAcentral is "partial 16S ribosomal RNA". The stretch from base 110 to 484 matches the Rfam family "Bacterial small subunit ribosomal RNA", at positions 37 to 507 of the family's 1533-position model. The record is from RNAcentral.